Molecule: long non-coding RNA, 1533 nt
Organism: Salvia splendens (bonfire salvia)
Lineage: Eukaryota; Viridiplantae; Streptophyta; Magnoliopsida; Lamiales; Lamiaceae
Exons: 2
Source: RefSeq, a predicted model, not a curated record
UCAUCACCCCCCUUUUCUCUCCUCUCUUUCUUCCCCCAAUUUUCGAAAACCCUUCCCCAAAUUGGAGGAGUGAAAACGGAAACCCAAGUCUUGGAUUCACCGGUCUCCCUCGCCUCCGCUGCCGACGUCUCCGUUGCCAGUCGUGGCCCUGUCCUUUCUCACUUCUCACGGCUCCUCGGCAUAGCGGCAUUUUCCAUCGUCGUGGCGUCUCAUUGGGCUCGGUGGAUUACUCCUCCGACUCGUUCACAGCCCCCUCUCUGUUCACCCUCGUAGCCGGGUGCAUCAGUCACCGGGGGGCAUCCCGGGUGCACUGCUUACGGAGCCCCUAUCUGUUGUGGCAUGCUGGAUUCUCGCGGCGUCUUUCGGGCUCUACCGUCGCCUCUGUCGCGACAGAAAUCUCCUCGACGGACAUCCUAUCGUUCAAGCUAUGCCUUCAUCUUCUACCCCCUUUACUCAUUUCCUUGUGUUGCGGCAGUAGCCACACUUUCAUCUAAGUUUCUAAAUUUUGGAAGUCUAAAAUAUAGAUGAUGCUCGUAUUUGAUCCUGUGGGGGACUUGUUCUUGUAGCUAUUUGUUGGUUUCGAAGUGAAACUCCAUGUUGUGAUUCUACUAAUAGGACUGUCGAGCAUAGGUUUAUGUGAUGUCUGUUCAAGUGAUUAUUUCAUACUGUUUAAUCCUAGCUGUGGCAUUGCAAGGUUCGAAUUUAGUUCUUGAGCAUCUAUGCUCCUAGGUUCUCAUGUUCUAGCUAUUUGCUUGUUCUAUAUGAUGCAAUUAUGGUGUUAAGGGGAUUACCUCUUGUGAAUGUGUUGGUAUGAAGUUGUCGGUCUCUGGCCACGUCUUAAGCCGAGCUCUCUGCUUACAACUCCCGAUUCCUCUUCCCUCUCUCCCUUCCGGUCUUGGCUAAAAUCGAAGCUGAUAUGUGGUGUGAAAGACAGGCUAAGGGUUACUCCUAUAUUUAUCCUGAAUCUGUAACUAAAAGCCUGAUAAGGCUGAUGUACUUGGCUGAAACAAGAUCCUUAGGUUGUGCCAAAAUUGGUUGACCUUCCUGCAGCUCUAUAGGCUGUGUACUCGUGGUUUUAUUUGAGUUGCUGAGAUUUUGCUAUGCUCUGUUUUUGGCUUCAUGUGGGGGUCUAGUACUUGGUGUAUUUAUGGAGUGUUGUCUCAUUUGGCAGGUGUAUAAGGGAUGGCAGGAGUUUGCCACUGAUUCCCCUGCUGUGGUCGUUGUACAACCAAGCUGGAAGGGCAGGCCAUUUCUGGUGGUAGCAGCCUUCAUUCUUACCUAUUUUGAGAAAUAGGGAUGCUAAGUGUGGUUCUCACCUUGGUGUCCCAGUUUGUUGGGCCGCUUGAGCUGGGCUGAGACCUGGCCUGCCACGCAUCCUAUGACUCGAAUUGUAAUAGCGUAGCCCUACGUGUAAACUUUCUUUAACAUGUAAUAGUUAGUUGAGUUGUGUAUUUCGUUUUUUUUUUAUUUCCAUCGCCAAAAUUUGUAAUACACAAAUUAAAUUGGAAAUUCUAAAUAUCGUGUUUUUGUUUA